Ceratina calcarata is the source of this 592-nucleotide long non-coding RNA. RefSeq lists it as uncharacterized. Lineage: Eukaryota; Metazoa; Arthropoda; Insecta; Hymenoptera; Apidae. The record is from RefSeq and is a predicted model, not a curated record. The transcript is spliced from 3 exons.
UAUUUAACAAAAGCUCGGGACUGGUUGAGUGAAACGUGGACAGGACACAAGGGCAAUUUCCCUCUCCUCCGCCGACUCGUUUUUCCUCCUCUACAUCCCCUUUCUAGACUUUCGCUCGUCUAUAAGAAACCUUAAAGAAUGAUGGUACGAGAAGAUAAAACCAACUCUGCUUCAAAAUGUAGGUUACUCUGCUGCCACAGCUUUUGAUAUUCGGGUUCAUUAUGGUAUUAUACAGGUACCUAGAUGUACUAGCUGUGCUUUUGUCAUUCCUUAAAUGAGAAUCCCUUAUAUUAGAUAUCUCAGGUCAACGUUCUUAAAAAGAUGCUUCCCUCUCCUCUUCGUCGAACAAUUCUUUAGGAAAUCGUCGAAUUGCCGAUUGCUUGAAACUUUCGAUUACGCGACUGUUCGGAAAUAAUAACACUCUCAUACUGUAGUUUUCUACCCCUCACAAGUUUGAAAGUUUCUCAGAUUGUCAGAUCAUUUCUAUACAGUCGUCGACAAAGGAGACUUUCAAAGUUAAUUCUCGGAAGAUAUUACAAGAUAGAAAGAUGAUAAAUGCGUUUAUGAACACUAUUAAAAGGAGACAAUAAUG